GUUCCCCAAGAGCGCAUCUAUUUCCACCACCGUUUGCGGCGUCAGCUGACUCAGCACCUUGAGAAUGGGCAGUAGAGAGGGCAGGUUUUGCUGGGUCACCGAGUUAAGGGCAUUAUGAAGGCCACAGUGGGACCCACUGAGACAGUCUCAGCUGUUUGACAGCUUGGCCCUGUCUCCCUGGACUUCCCUUUGCAAAUGACAAGUCUGCAAGAAGGGAAAGGCUACGUCAAGGAGGGGAGGCUUACCUGGAGCUAUGGAAAACUGGGAUGGCACGAGUCCUUACUGGCAGGUGUGGAGCAGCAACACCCUCCCACACUCCUAUCCCAUAGACCACAGAUCCUUUGUAAGGCUUCACCCCAAGUACUCACUGUCCGCCCCAAAAAAUUUUGGUGGUGAUAACAUAGCUUGAUCUCCUGGAAAAAAAGCAAAACGAUCUUUCCAGCAGGAAACUGAUAUUUGGUUGAUCGUGUCUCCAGCACCGCCCCCACCCCGAACAGUCUCACCUCCAGCCUUUGCUCUUGAGAAUAUUGCCAAGGGUUCUUUCAGCCCUGAAAUAAAGACAAUGCAAGGACA
This 573-nucleotide long non-coding RNA is filed under the name Mus pahari (shrew mouse). Its description in RNAcentral is "lncRNA (MGP_PahariEiJ_G0002563.1)". The record is from RNAcentral. Lineage: Eukaryota; Metazoa; Chordata; Mammalia; Rodentia; Muridae.